GACGAACGCUGGCGGCGUGCUUAACACAUGCAAGUCGAACGGUAAGGCCCUUCGGGGUACACGAGUGGCGAACGGGUGAGUAACACGUGGGUAAUCUGCCUGCACAUCGGGAUAAGCCUGGGAAACUGGGUCUAAUACCGAAUAGGACCACAGGACACAUGUCCUGUGGUGGAAAGCUUUUGCGGUGUGGGAUGGGCCCGCGGCCUAUCAGCUUGUUGGUGGGGUGAUGGCCUACCAAGGCGACGACGGGUAGCCGGCCUGAGAGGGUGUCCGGCCACACUGGGACUGAGAUACGGCCCAGACUCCUACGGGAGGCAGCAGUGGGGAAUAUUGCACAAUGGGCGAAAGCCUGAUGCAGCGACGCCGCGUGGGGGAUGACGGCCUUCGGGUUGUAAACCUCUUUCACCAUCGACGAAGGUCCGGGUUUUCUCGGGCUGACGGUAGGUGGAGAAGAAGCACCGGCCAACUACGUG
This 473-nucleotide ribosomal RNA is filed under the name uncultured bacterium. RNAcentral describes it as "partial 16S ribosomal RNA". It matches the Rfam family "Bacterial small subunit ribosomal RNA", at positions 28 to 507 of the family's 1533-position model. The record is from RNAcentral.